RNAcentral lists this ribosomal RNA (492 nucleotides) under uncultured bacterium. RNAcentral describes it as "partial 16S ribosomal RNA". It matches the Rfam family "Bacterial small subunit ribosomal RNA", at positions 29 to 507 of the family's 1533-position model. The record is from RNAcentral.
AGUGAACGCUGGCGGUAGGCCUAACACAUGCAAGUCGAACGGCAGCACAGUAAGAGCUUGCUCGUACGGGUGGCGAGUGGCGGACGGGUGAGGAAUACAUCGGAAUCUACUUUUUCGUGGGGGAUAACGUAGGGAAACUUACGCUAAUACCGCAUACGACCUACGGGUGAAAGCAGGGGAUCUUCGGACCUUGCGCGAUUGAAUGAGCCGAUGUCGGAGUAGCUGGUUGGCGGGGUAAAGGCACACCAAGGCGACGAUCCGUAGCUGGUCUGAGAGGAUGAUCAGCCACACUGGAACUGAGACACGGUCCAGACUCCUACGGGAGGCAGCAGUGGGGAAUAUUGGACCAUGGGCGCAAGCCUGAUCCAGCCAUACCGCGUGGGUGAAGAAGGCCUUCGGGUUGUAGAGCCCUUUUGUUGGGAAAGAAAAGCAGCAGGUUAAUACCCCGCUGUUCUGACGGUACCCAAAGAAUAAGCACCGGCUAACUUCGUG